RNAcentral lists this ribosomal RNA (724 nucleotides) under bacterium enrichment culture. RNAcentral describes it as "bacterial SSU rRNA". It matches the Rfam family "Bacterial small subunit ribosomal RNA", at positions 8 to 713 of the family's 1533-position model. The record is from RNAcentral.
AGAGUUUGAUCCUGGCUCAGGACGAACGCUGGCGGCGUGCCUAAUACAUGCAAGUCGAGCGAACCAAUAAGAAGCUUGCUUUUUGUUGGUUAGCGGCGGACGGGUGAGUAACACGUGGGUAACCUGCCUGUAAGACCGGGAUAACUCCGGGAAACCGGUGCUAAUACCGGAUAGAUUAUCUUUCCGCCUGGAGAGAUAAGGAAAGAUGGCUAUUGCCAUCACUUACAGAUGGGCCCGCGGCGCAUUAGCUAGUUGGUGAGGUAACGGCUCACCAAGGCGACGAUGCGUAGCCGACCUGAGAGGGUGAUCGGCCACACUGGGACUGAGACACGGCCCAGACUCCUACGGGAGGCAGCAGUAGGGAAUCUUCCGCAAUGGACGAAAGUCUGACGGGGCAACGCCGCGUGAGCGAAGAAGGUCUUCGGAUCGUAAAGCUCUGUUGUUAGGGAAGAACAAGUAUCGGAGGAAAUGCCGGUACCUUGACGGUACCUGACGAGAAAGCCACGGCUAACUACGUGCCAGCAGCCGCGGUAAUACGUAGGUGGCAAGCGUUGUCCGGAAUUAUUGGGCGUAAAGCGCGCGCAGGCGGUCCUUUAAGUCUGAUGUGAAAUCUUGCGGCUCAACCGCAAGCGGUCAUUGGAAACUGGGGGACUUGAGUGCAGAAGAGGAAAGCGGAAUUCCACGUGUAGCGGUGAAAUGCGUAGAGAUGUGGAGGAACACCAGU